AAUAUGCUUGCUGCCAAGAAGGAGGACCUGAGCUCAGUCCCUGGGAUGCACAUGAUAGUAAGGAGAGAACUGCCUUCUGCAAGCUUACCUCUGGCUGCCACAGGUACACCAUGUCACCAACACAUACAAGCUAAUGAAUGAUCCUUAAGCAGGAAGGUAAACAACGCCGAGGAGGUCCCUGAAACUGAUCAGACUCUCCUGGCCUCUCCGUGCCAGAGUAUACAGCAAAAGCGGAGAGUCAUUCUCUGACAAAGUGAAGCUGAGCUGCAAAGAAGUCUCCCGGGGGAGAAAAGCUAAAAAAAAAUCUCUUGAGACCAGCUGCCUGGAAGAGGUUUAGACCAGAGCCACUUGGAUAGGACACUUUCUCGUCUCUUGAGCUGCCUGCAGGCUGUACAGUGGGCUCCAGGUUUCCCAGCUUUGUGAACUGUCACCAGUAGGAUGGGCUGUGGUGAUGCAGCUGUCUUUGCGUCAUUUCCGCUGGCGUAAAUAACCCCUCAGGCACACGCCUGCAAUAAAACCCAUUGCUUCAACAA
This is a long non-coding RNA of Mastomys coucha (southern multimammate mouse), 533 nucleotides long. RefSeq lists it as uncharacterized. The transcript has 2 exons. Lineage: Eukaryota; Metazoa; Chordata; Mammalia; Rodentia; Muridae. The record is from RefSeq and is a predicted model, not a curated record.